RNAcentral lists this ribosomal RNA (634 nucleotides) under uncultured bacterium. RNAcentral's name for it is "bacterial SSU rRNA". It matches the Rfam family "Bacterial small subunit ribosomal RNA", at positions 9 to 655 of the family's 1533-position model. The record is from RNAcentral.
GAGUUUGAACCUGGCUCAGGAUGAACGCUGGCGGCGUGCCUAAUACAUGCAAGUCGAGCGAACCACUUCGGUGGUGAGCGGCGAACGGGUGAGUAACACGUAGGUGAUCUGCCCAUCAGACGGGGACAACGAUUGGAAACGAUCGCUAAUACCGGAUAGGACGAAAGUUUAAAGGUGCUUCUGGCACCGCUGAUGGAUGAGCCUGCGGCGCAUUAGCUAGUUGGUAGGGUAAAGGCCUACCAAGGCGACGAUGCGUAGCCGACCUGAGAGGGUGAACGGCCACACUGGGACUGAGACACGGCCCAGACUCCUACGGGAGGCAGCAGUAGGGAAUCUUCGGCAAUGGGCGAAAGCCUGACCGAGCAACGCCGCGUGAAUGAUGAAGGCCUUCGGGUUGUAAAAUUCUGUUAUAAGGGAAGAACGACUUUAGUAGGAAAUGGCUAGAGUGUGACGGUACCUUAUGAGAAAGCCACGGCUAACUACGUGCCAGCAGCCGCGGUAAUACGUAGGUGGCGAGCGUUAUCCGGAAUUAUUGGGCGUAAAGAGCGCGCAGGUGGUUGAUUAAGUCUGAUGUGAAAGCCCACGGCUUAACCGUGGAGGGUCAUUGGAAACUGGUCGACUUGAGUGCAGAAGA